This 324-nucleotide ribosomal RNA is filed under the name uncultured eukaryote. Its description in RNAcentral is "partial 18S ribosomal RNA". It matches the Rfam family "Eukaryotic small subunit ribosomal RNA", at positions 1470 to 1796 of the family's 1831-position model. The record is from RNAcentral.
CCCUUAGAUGUUCUGGGCUGCACGCGCGCUACACUGAUGCGAUCAACAAGUUUUUCCUAUGUCGAUAGACACGGGUAAUCUUUUGAAAUCGCAUCGUGAUGGGGAUAGAUUAUUGUAAUUAUUAAUCUUCAACGAGGAAUUCCUAGUAGGUGCAAAUCAUCAGUUUGCAUCGAUUACGUCCCUGCCCUUUGUACACACCGCCCGUCGCUGCUACCGAUUGGUUGAUCUGGUGAAUUAUUCGGACUGCCGGCUGAAGGGGUUUCCUCAUCUGCCAGCGGAAAGUCUUGUUAACCCUAUCAACUAGAGGAAGCAGAAGUCGUAACA